RNAcentral lists this ribosomal RNA (213 nucleotides) under uncultured Staphylococcus sp. Its description in RNAcentral is "partial 16S ribosomal RNA". It matches the Rfam family "Bacterial small subunit ribosomal RNA", at positions 338 to 553 of the family's 1533-position model. The record is from RNAcentral. Lineage: Bacteria; Bacillati; Bacillota; Bacilli; Caryophanales; Staphylococcaceae.
CCUACGGGAGGCAGCAGUAGGGAAUCUUCCGUGCUGGGGGCGCUGAGGAGCACGCCGCGUGAGUGUGAGGUUUCGGAUUGUAAGCUCUGUUACCAGGGAAGACAUGUGCGUAACUAACUGUGCGCACCUUGAUAGUUCCUUGCCAGAAAGCCACGGCUUACUACGUGCCAGCAGCCGCGGUAAUACGUAGGUGGCAAGCGUUGUCCGGAAUUA